RNAcentral lists this non-coding RNA (90 nucleotides) under Propionispora sp. 2/2-37. Its description in RNAcentral is "Glycine riboswitch aptamer". It matches the Rfam family "Glycine riboswitch aptamer". Rfam says of the family: This family represents the bacterial glycine riboswitch. Glycine riboswitches usually consist of two metabolite-binding aptamers domains with similar structures in tandem. The aptamers cooperatively bind glycine to regulate the expression of downstream genes. RNAcentral also lists the same sequence under 1 other name. The record is from Rfam by way of RNAcentral. Lineage: Bacteria; Bacillati; Bacillota; Negativicutes; Selenomonadales; Sporomusaceae.
AUGAUGGUUGCGGGAGAGAACGCCGUACAGGCGACACCGAAGGAGCAAAUUCUUGUUGAAACUCUCAGGUAAAAAAACCGUAACCGGACC